This 99-nucleotide signal recognition particle RNA is filed under the name Campylobacter lari. Its description in RNAcentral is "signal recognition particle sRNA small type". It matches the Rfam family "Bacterial small signal recognition particle RNA". From Rfam's summary of the family: The signal recognition particle (SRP) is a universally conserved ribonucleoprotein involved in the co-translational targeting of proteins to membranes. Archaeal SRP consists of a 7S RNA and homologues of the eukaryotic SRP19 and SRP54 proteins. Lineage: Bacteria; Pseudomonadati; Campylobacterota; Epsilonproteobacteria; Campylobacterales; Campylobacteraceae. The record is from RNAcentral.
CUCUUAGACCUGUGCAAUGCUAUUUUUAAGCACCGCUUCAGGGUGGGAACACAGCAGAGCACUUAGACUUAGUGGUGUGCCGCAGUCAUCUGGGAGAGG